Long non-coding RNA from Hyla sarda, 1788 nucleotides. RefSeq lists it as uncharacterized. The transcript has 3 exons. The record is from RefSeq and is a predicted model, not a curated record. NCBI's taxonomy places the organism in Eukaryota, Metazoa, Chordata, Amphibia, Anura, Hylidae.
UUGCAGUAACACAUAUUUUGCUAUGCACAUGUUUAUUCCCUUUGUGUGUAUUGGAACUAAACCAAAAAAGGGAGAAAAAAAAGCAAAUUGGACAUAAUGUCACACCAAACUCAAAAAAUUGGCACCCUUAACUUAAUAUUUGGUUGCACGCCCUUUGGAAAAAAUAACUGAAAUCAUUUGCUUCCUAUAACCAUCAAUAAGCUUCUUACACCUCUCAGCAGGAAUGUUGGUCCACUCUUCCUUUGCAAACUGCUCCAGGUCUCUCUUAUUGGAAGGGCGCCUUUUCGCAACAGCAAUUUUAAGAUCUCUCCACAGGUGUUUAAUGGGAUUUAGAUCUGGACUCAUUGCUGGCCACUUCAGAACUCAACAGUGCUUUGUUGCCAACCAGUUUUGGGUGCUUUUUGACAUAUGUUUGGGAAGGAAGACCCAAGAUCUCGGACGCAAACCCAACUGUCUGACACUGGGCUGUACAGUGCGACCCAAAGACUGGGAAGAGGCGUUCCCCAGCAGACAUGACAUCUUCUGAAGCCCUGCUGGGGAUAACAUCCUCCGUCACUCUGCUAUACACAACCAAGAGCAGUUCAGUGAGAGAUGGGCUGUGUUUUUCGGAGACUGCACCCUCCCCCAUCUCAGCUCUCUAAACUGAGGAUCAGGACUGCAGGAUGUGAAUGGCCGAGUGCAUGUGUGUCGCUUACCUAAAAAGAGAAGGCACAAGAGUCCAUGUGAAAAGGAUGCAAAGUUCCAGAUGCAGUGUGAUAUCAAUGGGCACUGUUCUACUGGGAAACCACGGGUCCUGGAACUUAUGUGGAUAUUAGGCUUAGUUUGCACUUUUUGCACUAUUUUUUAAUCACAUAUAUACUUUGGAAGUAUUUAUCAACACAUAAAAAAAUUUUUUUGCUCUGGGAGCCAUAGACUCUAGUUACAUCAUGCAAACAUGGGGAACAAUUAAAACUCCAUGAAGUUGUUGUCCUUGGUUGAUUUUGAGCUCAGGACUCUUUCUGCAAGGGAACAAUGUUAAGCCUUAAACCACUGUGCCACCUAUGAAGAAGGUAAGUAGAAGCCAGGUGCUGCUAAUCAAACAUCCUUUUCUAAAGCAGAAAUGUUGGUGGUUUUUAGACUCCCACCAAUCACUAGAUAGAUUCCACGUGAGUGCUUGUUUGUCAAUCAUGCCCGACCCAUUUUCAUUUGUGCUCAAGAAUCUCGAAUUCAAUUGGUCUCUGUCUAUACUGAUGCAGCUCAUCAUUUAGAACUAGUUGACAGACUUGCAGCUUUUGUGUGCUUUCAGCUUUUACGUACCAUGUCUCACUCAUGUAGAGCAAGACCGAUUUUAUGUUCAAGGAUUUAUAUUUUGGUAUGUUUGCGGAGCUAGUUUAAGUCCAAAACAUGCCAGUGACUUACAAAAGUACUCUUUACAUUUCUGAUUCUGGUAGGUACAUCUAUCAAUCUUGGUAUCGCAGUCUGGUGCAGUUUGGCUUCCAAAAUGCUGGAAAGUUUUGAUAUUCUCAACUGGUUGGUCAGCUACAAUAAAGCUAGAGAGGUUUUCCAUGUUGAUUUUCAUCAAUUAUGUUUUGAUGACAUUGAUGAUCAAACUUGCUUCUGUGGAGUGGCUGGCUACUAGUCAUCAAGUUUAUUCUGCAUGUCAGCAAAGCAUUGUGCAUAUAAAGUUGUCAGCUAGCUCAAGGAUGUUGAGAUGCUAAAUACUGAUAGGAUGCCAAAGUAGUCACUUGCUGGUUCGCUAUCAAUUGCUCCAGCUAAAACAUCAUUAUUCAUGAAUAAGAAAGGAUUGUC